GCGCUGCCAGGAAACUUCAAAAUAUGGAAAGAUUGGUGUACUAUCUGGAGAAGUCAGCUCCACUUUAUAUUAGUACAAGCUGUGUUAAAAUUCAGCUUGGAUAGUCUUGUAAGAGUCCAUUAAGCGUGGCAAUAGCUGCCGGUGUUGACGGACUGCCUACUCUGCUGAAGUUGGCACACGUUAUGGCUGCAAAGAAGCAGGAGUGGCAAUCUAUGAAGAAACUACCAGUGCCAGUAGAAUUAAGAAAGGAAUUCUAGUUUCAUUCGGUUUUCGUCUGUCCAGUGAGCAGGGAUCAUGUGAAUGAAGAGAAUCCUCCCAUGUCGUUGCCUUGUGGACAUGUCCUAUGUAAGCAGUCUAUUCAUAAAUUGUCAAACAACGGCACACCGGCCUUCAAGUGCCCCUACUCCCCUUUUGAUGCUAUAGUUUCACAGUGCAAGCAACUCUAUUUUUUAUGUUUGUAAAACCAUUUCUCUUUACACAGAUUUGUUUGAUGAAAUCUUCACUGCUUUAGCAUUUUUACUUGAAAUAGAAAGUGUGUUGAUGUGUACAGAGGUUUUCUUUAAUUUACAAGGUCAUGUUUGGUUUCUCA
This is a long non-coding RNA of Ipomoea nil (Japanese morning glory), 589 nucleotides long. RefSeq lists it as uncharacterized. The transcript is spliced from 2 exons. The record is from RefSeq and is a predicted model, not a curated record. NCBI's taxonomy places the organism in Eukaryota, Viridiplantae, Streptophyta, Magnoliopsida, Solanales, Convolvulaceae.